AUGUUGAGUCUGCAGCACCCCGACACAGAGGAGCCCCUGGCUCUGCAAUGCACUUACAAACCUCCACCCACCAGAGCCUGCGUUUCUUCACGUCUCGGUGGCACAGGCAGGUUCCCUCCAGGCUCCCGUGCUUGGAAAGGAGCGGAGAAGAGGAGUGGAGGCCCUGAACGCUGGGGCUGUGGGGUGUGUCGCAAGCAGCCCCGGGCUGUCCAGCUUCAGUGUAACUUUGCACUGUUACACAAGACAGACAAAAGACGUGGUAGCAGAGGAGGGGCACUCCUGAUAUGCUUUAAAAAUGACAAGAAAGCGUGCUCAAGAGAAAACACGCAGCCGACUGAAGGAAAAGGACGAAGCUGCCUUUUCUCUCUACCCCACGGCUGGCCUCAUGCUCCGGUGUGUUUCCAUGGAGGCUGUUGCUGUCACUGCAUGGCUCAUGCUAGAGUGUCACAUUGGAUGGGAGCCAGCUCAACAAGAAAAAUAAAGAGAGUGGGCUGAAGGAAAAGAUUCCCUGAUCGUCUGUCUAAGAACAAACAACUGGACUAUACAAAAUACAGGAAAGCACAAAUGUUGCUUACAUUAUGAAGCUCUGAUUUUCAUACCUGAGGAAUAUUACUGUCGAUGCUUCAGUGAGUCACGUGAGAUGUGGUAAUGUCACUUGUGAGUCACGUUUCUGUGUUUCAAAUUGGCCAUUUUGGUUAAUGGCCACCUAGAAGUUGACUGUAAGAUACCCUAGCAUUUGAUGUGACAGGCCCAUACAUAUCAAUACGCUUUAUAACUAGAUUUAAAGAAACAGAAGCUGAUGUCCUUGCAGCAAACAAUUUGCAAUCUAAAGCUUGAUGACCAUGGCUCUCAGAAAGAAGGGAAAGCACCAUUUACUUGUGUUGAGCCUUACACCAAUUUGGGCAUACAAGGAGCUGAGGAAGUACUUGGCAGAGGAUCACAAGCUGGAUUGCAAGACAGCAACCGUAUCCGAAAGGCUGUAUCUGCUGAUGUGGUCAAUUCCUUGGAAGAAAGAAAAAAGAAAAAAAAAAAAAGAAAAACACAUUUACGUGCCUUUAUACAAAAGGGAAGGCUUGUGAAAGAAAUUAGCAACACAAUCCCUCAACUGCAGGUAUUUGAAUUGAUUAUCUGUCAACCCAAAGGUUUCCCCAAGUUCAGCAAAUGAACACGAUCUGUCUUCUAAAAUAUAUCAUGUAAUUUGUUAAAGCUUUUUGUCUAACCAUGCAUCCCAAAUAAAAAAGCACUUAGUUUUUGGUUUGGGUAGUAA
This 1267-nucleotide long non-coding RNA is filed under the name Anas platyrhynchos platyrhynchos (common mallard). Its description in RNAcentral is "lncRNA (ENSAPLG00000025593.1)". The record is from RNAcentral. Lineage: Eukaryota; Metazoa; Chordata; Aves; Anseriformes; Anatidae.